Long non-coding RNA from Ruditapes philippinarum (Manila clam), 2547 nucleotides. RefSeq lists it as uncharacterized. The transcript is spliced from 3 exons. The record is from RefSeq and is a predicted model, not a curated record. NCBI's taxonomy places the organism in Eukaryota, Metazoa, Mollusca, Bivalvia, Venerida, Veneridae.
UCGAACAGAAUGUGUAUUUGCAUAAGCUAGACGGUUCUCACGGACACAAAGCCAUGUUUGUCAAUAUUGUUUUUUUUUUAUCCGGCGUUUCUUACAUAACACUGAAUGAGGAGGCAGCAAAUAGACAUCUAUAACCUUAAUAGCCUGGAUUUAAAUACAUAAAACUUUUGAAAGAGAAUACAGAUCUAGAAGGCCGGCCAGGAAAUUUAUCAACAUGCAUUCCUGUACAAUCGUUUUGUUUGUUAUUUGCAUAAUUGCUUCAACCCUUGUCGCAGAUAGUGAAGGUCAAUUGUGUAUAAAGACUGCGCGUGGAUGUAGAGAUACAAGACCAUUCAUUGGAAAUAAAGGAAGGUGUGAAAGAAGUAGGCCUAAUAUGAAAUGUGCUAGAAUUGGCCAAACCUGCAGGUGCAAGUCAUCUAUAAUUCUAAACGCACCCUCUCCAUUUCAUGAGAAAAAAACAAAUGAUGGACUAGAAGCCACACUGGAUGUUUCCCUUUCCAUUAAUCGCCCCAGAAAUGAAAAUCAGGAGAGCAAUUCGGAAACCAGCGAUGGAGAAUACAGUAAUUCCAUGAACAACUUAACUGAAUAUUGAUUGCUGAAAAAUAACAGAAACGAUAAAGAUUUAAACUGUUACAAAUUAAAUAUAAUUAAUAUUGGUAUUUCUAUGCAUUGUUUGAAUAACAAAUCAGCAAAUCACAACAUAUAAACUUUUAAAGUAUUGCUACGUUAUUCUUUUUUUUUACCUCAUCUGGCCAAAUAUUGCACAAGAAAGCUUUUAUUUUUGAUGUUUUAAUGAGUUUGCAUCGAAGACAGCCAUAUAUUACCCAAAAGUGCAUAUUGCGAUUAUAGAUUCAGACCGCAAUACCUUGAGCUUACUUUGAAACGCAGUAUUCUCUAAUUGAUAAAAUUGCCUCGCCUUAGGGAUUAAUUUAUUUAUCAAAGGGUUUUCUUCAAACCAUGGCUCACAAGUCAAUAUUAUUAAGAUCCGCUUAAGUGAAUUGUUUUACUUAACUUAACUGUUUUUCCAUCGAUACAAUAUCAGAUCUAACAGUUAAGCACUUGUUCAGAUUCAAUCAAUGACCAUCAUUAAGAAUUUUUGAUAUGUUAGUUAUGGUGCCAUUAUUCUUACAACAGUUUAGUUAAGUUUAGAUAUAUUUAGUUUACUAAUGUUUUAAUCAGUCACUCACUCAGUCACACAGAAAUUCAGUCCCUCACUCAAGUUAGAAUACGAAAUAAAAAAUUGCAUUAAUUGUUGAUAAAAUGGUUUGAAAAUUGACUCAAAGCAUGUUGCUUAUAACAGAGUGUUUCAGUGAAAAUGUAACAUCUAAAUAAUAUAGCUUUUACUAUUUAUCACUUAAAAUUUCUCAUAGAAAGUACUAACCAUACAUAUUAGAACAAAUUUAAUUGAUGGGCGAUAGAAAUAGACUUUAUACGGACAUAUAACAACGUAAAACGAAACAAAUAUAUACCAAUAACUUGAUUGAACAGGUAAUGAGUCAUUUUAAACAAUGCAUGGUACUGCAUAGGUAAGAAGUCUAUCUGAAAAAGCUACGGACAUUGCGAAAAAUGCUAUUUUUUACUUAAAUGUCCGGUUUCCUAUUUGUGUACUGCAUUCUGUUAUGUAUACUCAUGAAAAUUAUUAUUUCGUGUCUGUCACCGGAUAUAUUUAACCACAUGAUAACACAAAACUACCAAUUUUAAAUUUAAUUUCUGCUACGUAAUACGCGUGACUUUGCAAAAUUGGACAUAUUCAUUGAUGUUAUAUAAACUUAACUGUAAAUCAGCCUUUCAUUCGUGUACAUUAAAUGAACUGACAAAGAAUAAUCAUUCGUAUGUAUCCUUUAAGAAUUUGGAAUAGCAAAUUGUAAAAUAGACCAGAAGCCAGGGGAAAAAAGAACAAAUAGUUGUUGUUUCAUAAUGCAGAUAUUUCUGAUUUGUGUGAUUCUCCACUAUCUAGUUGUGUUUUCUACAAUAAGAGAUGCAAGAAGUCAAUUUUGCACAAAAAGAGGGAAUAGAUGUUUAGAUACAAUUGUGAAAGGCCAAGGUCGAUGCGCUAGGAGAAGUAGGGAUAGGGAAUGUGCAAGAAUUGGAAGCACUUGCAAAUGUCAGCUGUGACGACUUUUAUCCAUUAUACGCGACGACUUUUAUCCCGUAUAAGACGUUGACAUAUCAAGGAUGUAAAGACACGACAACAAAGGAAUCAUAUUCACAUUUUUCAGAAACAUUAUGCUUGAAAAUGUAACAUCAGAUCAGUUUAUAAGAACAGUUAAAUACAAUGAGGUUUAUAUAUUUAGAGUGAACGCAUUGGUAGUGCUUAUGUCCAGGUAUAUUGUAAAUAUUACACAUAUGCCAAGAGAACAGUGUUUAUAAAUUUAAAAAAUCCCCUCUGCUAGUAAUGCGUGUCUUAGUGCUUUACAACGAUUCUCUAUUUUGUUGUAUAUUGAUUCUUUUUGGAGACGUGGCAUGUAUUGUUUAGAGAUGAAAAAUAGUGCCGUUUAAUUUACAAUUAUAUAAGAAGUAUUAUAAAAAAACAUUGUCUGUUAGUUU